This 1149-nucleotide long non-coding RNA is filed under the name Mus musculus (house mouse). RNAcentral's name for it is "predicted gene, 41836". Lineage: Eukaryota; Metazoa; Chordata; Mammalia; Rodentia; Muridae. The record is from RNAcentral.
CAUCUACACAAGGGAAUACUAUUCAGAUAUUAAAAACAAAAACAUGAUGAAUUUUGCAGGCAAAUAGGUGGAACUUGAGAAUAUCAUCCUGAGUGAGGACUCUCCUAACUGAAUUCCAUAGUGGUUCUUCCAGUUUUCAUUGCUACCAGUUUGCAGUAUAAGGAUUCCUCUUUUGCACAUACUCACCAACACUGGUUGUUUGCUGGACAACAACCAAGCUUGCUUGAUGAUGGCUGUUCUGACUAUGAUGAAAUGGAAUCUCAAGGUUCUUUUCUGGAUUAAACUCAAAUCUCAAGUUCCACGCCUUCCAUGGUAAAAAAGGAUCUGAAAAGCUUUGCUCCGAGUCUACUCCAUGCUUCUGUUCAGCAGACAGACUGGUAACUGACGGCCAUGGUAGAGACGGCAGGCACAGCUGGCUAGGUCUCAUGGUUCAAGAAGGAGAAAAGAUAUCAAUGAUCGUAAUCAGCACUGGAUGCUUCAUAAUACCAAACUGACUUGCCAAGCAAGAUGUGAUUCUUGGGGCAAUCAUGGCAUGAUUGUUGUGGAGUUAACCAACUACUCUAGAGGAGUUCUGCUUCCAGAUGUAAACCCUGAGUGAAAUUCUGGCAUAUAUGCCCAGGAAGCCUGUGGAAAAGUAGACAAGGCAAAUGCUUUUUUUGGAAAAGACCUAAGUGCCACCAAGGGAAAAUGGAUACACUUAAUAGCUUAGUUGUACACAACAGAGUACUAUUAUUUAGUAGUAAAAAUAAAAAUCAAUUGGAGAUACGUCUGCCAAUAUGAAUAUGGACCACAAAUAUAAGGAACAUAUGAUCUGUUACUCCUGAGCUAUUGUUCCUGUGGUGAAGAGUGUUCCAAUCCUUAGAGCAUCAUUGUUUAGUGAAUGUAACUGUUCUAACCAAUUUAAUUGAAGGGCAAGACUAUCAACAUCCUUUAUUUGAGAAAGCACAAGUUAGCAUACUCCUACCCUUAGGAGUUGAGAAAUAAAUGGAGCAGCAAUUCGAUGCUGGCUUAAUUGUGAGAACAAGUCCAGCUGGUGGAAGAUUUUUCAGUUGCGUUUCAGCAAAUGAGGAGCUCCUGUUCUGCCACAUGCAUUAGAGAACGCUUUCCUGCUACUCCAUCCAGUGAUACCAUAAAAAUUUUCAUGAGAAA